Molecule: unclassified non-coding RNA, 334 nt
Filed under: soil metagenome
Description: partial contains 5.8S ribosomal RNA, internal transcribed spacer 2, and large subunit ribosomal RNA
Rfam family: 5.8S ribosomal RNA (bases 1-120)
Source: RNAcentral
GAUGAAGAACGUAGCGAAAUGCGAUAAGUAAUGUGAAUUGCAGAAUUCAGUGAAUCAUCGAAUCUUUGAACGCACAUUGCGCCCGCCAGUAUUCUGGCGGGCAUGCCUGUUCGAGCGUCAUUUCAACCAUCAAGCCCCAGGCUUGUGUUGGAGCCCUGCGGCUGCCGCAGCCUCCCAAAACCAGUGGCGGGCUCGCUAUCACACCGAGAGCAGUAGUUUACUCUUCGCUCAGGGCGUGUGGCGGGUGCUAGCCGUAAAACCCCCAACUUCUCAAGGUUGACCUCGGAUCAGGUAGGAAUACCCGCUGAACUUAAGCAUAUCAAUAAGCGGAGGA